ACGAACGCUGGCGGCGUGCUUAACACCUGCAAGUCGAACGGAAAGGCUCCAGCUUGCUGGAGUACUCGAGUGGCGAACGGGUGAGUAACACGUGGGUAAUCUGCCCUGCACUCUGGGAUAAGCCUGGGAAACUGGGUCUAAUACUGGAUAUGACCUUUCUCCUUAUGGGGUUUGGUGGAAAGUUUUUCGGUGUAGGAUGAGCCCGCGGCCUAUCAGCUUGUUGGUGGGGUGAUGGCCUACCAAGGCGACGACGGGUAGCCGGCCUGAGAGGGUGAUCGGCCACAUUGGGACUGAGAUACGGCCCAGACUCCUACGGGAGGCAGCAGUGGGGAAUAUUGCACAAUGGGCGGAAGCCUGAUGCAGCGACGCCGCGUGAGGGAUGACGGCCUUCGGGUUGUAAACCUCUUUCAGCAGGGACGAAGCGUAAGUGACGGUACCUGCAGAAGAAGCACCGGCUAACUAUGUG
This 466-nucleotide ribosomal RNA is filed under the name uncultured bacterium. RNAcentral's name for it is "partial 16S ribosomal RNA". It matches the Rfam family "Bacterial small subunit ribosomal RNA", at positions 29 to 507 of the family's 1533-position model. The record is from RNAcentral.